CGAAUUAUCGUCACUAUUGUGGUCUUCGUCCCUCGCUUACCACGCGGGGCUCACAGUCUUCGUCCCCAUUUGACAGAUGAGGGACCUGAGGCACUGAGAAGUGAAGCGACUUGCCAAGACACACUGCAGGAGCCUCCGAAGCUUGACACGGCCCAGGACAGAUUGAUCGACUUGUUUUUCACGCUGGAAGCAGAAUAACGGGGGACGUGAAAUGUUUUCUCGAUUUAGUUUUCUCGCUGCGAGGAAAUGCAACAGAGCUCCGCUAGAUCCGUCUUGUUGCCGUCGUCUUGACAGCUCGUGGCAAUUUCACCUUUUCUGGAAACUCAUUUCUACUUUUACAAAGAGCAGAUGCAACAGGACUUGAUGUAUCGCAUUGUUAUUCCCAUAAAAGGGACCGGAGAUGAUAUUUUUCCAUCAUUCUCGCAGGUGGCUUAAAAAGGGGUAGGCUAUAAUGUCCUCGACACGGAUACGUCUUCCCGGUCUCAAUUGUCGCUCGUCUUCCUUCCUCGAGUCUUUCAGUCAUUCGUUAGAGAGGCUCUCAAGGAUCUUCGAAGUCUUUGAAUUUUUUCCCAGCCAGAGGUCACGGCCACGAGUUAGAAGACCAGGAAUAAUAUUAUCCAUCACUGCCAGAAUCUCCAUAAUUUUAUUUCCCGGCCUGUUGAAGCGUAACCUCCGACGGCUCCCUGUUGGGUUGGAAUUUAUUUUGUACUUUUUAAGAAUCUUGAAAAUGUGUUUACCAUUUGAAAAAAAGAACUGCCAGGGAAUUUUAACCCUCUCCCCCCACCCUGCCAACCCCACACACGAACACAGUUACUGGUUUACAUCUUUACGUCCCCUCCAGACUGCAAGCCCCUUAUGGGCCGGGAAUACGUCUCUCAGCUCUGUUCUGUUGUAAUGAUAACGUUGGUAUUGGUUAAGCGCUUACUAUGUGCAGAGCGCUGGGGUAGA
Molecule: long non-coding RNA, 948 nt
Organism: Ornithorhynchus anatinus (platypus)
Lineage: Eukaryota; Metazoa; Chordata; Mammalia; Monotremata; Ornithorhynchidae
Exons: 3
Source: RefSeq, a predicted model, not a curated record